GAUGAACGCUGGCGGCGUGCCUAAUACAUGCAAGUCGAGCGAACAGACGAGGAGCUUGCUCCUCUGACGUUAGCGGCGGACGGGUGAGUAACACGUGGAUAACCUACCUAUAAGACUGGGAUAACUUCGGGAAACCGGAGCUAAUACCGGAUAAUAUAUUGAACCGCAUGGUUCAAUAGUGAAAGACGGUUUUGCUGUCACUUAUAGAUGGAUCCGCGCCGCAUUAGCUAGUUGGUAAGGUAACGGCUUACCAAGGCAACGAUGCGUAGCCGACCUGAGAGGGUGAUCGGCCACACUGGAACUGAGACACGGUCCAGACUCCUACGGGAGGCAGCAGUAGGGAAUCUUCCGCAAUGGGCGAAAGCCUGACGGAGCAACGCCGCGUGAGUGAUGAAAGUCCUCGGAUCGUAAAACUCUGUUAUUAGGGAAGAACAAAUGUGUAAGUAACUAUGCACGUCUUGACGGUACCUAAUCAGAAAGCCACGGCUAACUACGUG
This 497-nucleotide ribosomal RNA is filed under the name uncultured bacterium. RNAcentral describes it as "partial 16S ribosomal RNA". It matches the Rfam family "Bacterial small subunit ribosomal RNA", at positions 28 to 507 of the family's 1533-position model. The record is from RNAcentral.